Molecule: unclassified non-coding RNA, 568 nt
Filed under: Notoacmea sp. C TN-2006
Lineage: Eukaryota; Metazoa; Mollusca; Gastropoda; Acmaeidae
Description: partial miscellaneous RNA
Source: RNAcentral
CCGUAUUCUGCUCACGAACGAUUGUGUUUGAUCUCCUCGAGAGAGAAAGACCAACUUCGUGUGGCUUAACGAAACUUUUGCCUAUCUGGUCGUUAUGGUCUAAGAGUGCGCGUAGCAGAUGCUAGGAGACCCCGUCCGGGGGUCCUUCGCUCCCUCGGUCGCCCGGUCCCCGGGUGAUGAAGCUCUCAGCGAGGGAUAGAGCGAGGUUGACCAGUCUGUGGCGAGGUUGUCGAGGAUAAGAGGGGUCGUCUCUCCUUUCUUCAUGGACCUCGGUAUGUCCGUUACUUUUUUUUUUGUAGUUGUCGGAACAUACGACCCUUUCGGUUGCUCGCUCGAUUAAAGGACGAAUCGAUCGACCUUUAGAGCGACUCGAAAGGGUACGUUCAAAGAGUUCUUGGUGGAGACGCCAAGCCGCCGGUCAACUACAUUUCCCCGGUCGUCUAACAAUUUUUUUUCCACACAAUCAAGGACACAUCUAGUUUGUUGCGAGCCGUCUUCUUUUCGGCGGCCGUCUCACAUAAUUUGAAACGUUAACGUACGACCGUAGGCGUUGGAUCACUCGGCUCGU